Molecule: ribosomal RNA, 774 nt
Filed under: uncultured Neocallimastigales
Lineage: Eukaryota; Fungi; Neocallimastigomycota; Neocallimastigomycetes; Neocallimastigales
Description: partial large subunit ribosomal RNA
Rfam family: Eukaryotic large subunit ribosomal RNA
Source: RNAcentral
GUAGUCUCGCACAGAUGCAUAUCAAUAAGCGGAGGAAAAGAAACUAACAAGGAUUCCCUUAGUAACGGCGAGUGAAGCGGGAAGAGCUCAAAUUUGAAAUCUUCAAGGUUCUACCUUGACGAAUUGUAGUUUAAAGAAGUGUUUUCUGUUAGAUGAGUAGCAAAAGUUCCUUGGAAUGGGACAUCAUAGAGGGUGGGAAUCCCGUAUUUGACCUUUACUUUCAACUUUGUGAUACACUUUCAAAGAGUCGGAUUGUUUGGGAAUGCAGUCCAAAAUGGGUGGUAAAUUUCAUCUAAAGCUAAAUAUUGGCGAGAGACCGAUAGCGAACAAGUACCGUGAGGGAAAGAUGAAAAGAACUUUGAAAAGAGAGUUAAACAGUACGUGAAAUUGUCAAAAGGGAAGCGUUUGACACCAGUGUUGUUUUUCUGAAAAUCAAUUAAAGAACUGUUUAUGCUAAGUUGUUUAGACUUUAUCAGCUAUCUGCUUAGUUUUGAGCUUUUCUUUAAUGCACUUUUCAGUUAACAAGUCAACAUCAAUUUCUUUUGCUGUAAAAAAGCUUGAGGAAGGUGGCUUGAGAUUCGUCUUAAGUGUUUAUAGCCUCUUGCCUAUGCAGUCGGAGAGAUUGAGGUCUGCAGCGUAGAUCCUUCGGGGCUAAAUGCAUUUGUGCUAAGUUAUAGCAUUUUAUAGACAACUUGUUGACUAUGAUUUGUCUUGUAGCUUACUCGCUUAUGUUAUUUUACCUACGCUUAGGAUGUUGAACUCUAUCACACACAG